RNAcentral lists this ribosomal RNA (773 nucleotides) under uncultured Streptococcus sp. Its description in RNAcentral is "bacterial SSU rRNA". It matches the Rfam family "Bacterial small subunit ribosomal RNA", at positions 28 to 776 of the family's 1533-position model. Lineage: Bacteria; Bacillati; Bacillota; Bacilli; Lactobacillales; Streptococcaceae. The record is from RNAcentral.
GACGAACGCUGGCGGCGUGCCUAAUACAUGCAAGUAGAACGCGCAGGAUGCACCGUAGUUUACUACACCGUAUUCUGUGAGUUGCGAACGGGUGAGUAACGCGUAGGUAACCUGCCUGGUAGCGGGGGAUAACUAUUGGAAACGAUAGCUAAUACCGCAUAAGAACAUUUACUGCAUGGUAGAUGUUUAAAAGGUGCAAGAGCAUCACUACCAGAUGGACCUGCGUUGUAUUAGCUAGUUGGUGAGGUAACGGCUCACCAAGGCAACGAUACAUAGCCGACCUGAGAGGGUGAUCGGCCACACUGGGACUGAGACACGGCCCAGACUCCUACGGGAGGCAGCAGUAGGGAAUCUUCGGCAAUGGGGGGAACCCUGACCGAGCAACGCCGCGUGAGUGAAGAAGGUUUUCGGAUCGUAAAGCUCUGUUGUUAAGGAAGAACGUGUGUGAGAGUGGAAAGUUCACACAGUGACGGUACUUAACCAGAAAGGGACGGCUAACUACGUGCCAGCAGCCGCGGUAAUACGUAGGUCCCGAGCGUUGUCCGGAUUUAUUGGGCGUAAAGCGAGCGCAGGCGGUUAGAUAAGUCUGAAGUGAAAGGCAGUGGCUCAACCAUUGUAGGCUUUGGAAACUGUUUAACUUGAGUGCAGAAGGGGAGAGUGGAAUUCCAUGUGUAGCGGUGAAAUGCGUAGAUAUAUGGAGGAACACCGGUGGCGAAAGCGGCUCUCUGGUCUGUAACUGACGCUGAGGCUCGAAAGCGUGGGGAGCGAACAGG